This 253-nucleotide ribosomal RNA is filed under the name uncultured bacterium. RNAcentral describes it as "partial 16S ribosomal RNA". It matches the Rfam family "Bacterial small subunit ribosomal RNA", at positions 524 to 776 of the family's 1533-position model. The record is from RNAcentral.
UACGGAGGGUGCAAGCGUUAUCCGGAUUUACUGGGCUUAAAGGGUGCGUAGGUGGGCAGGUAAGUCAGUGGUGAAAUCUCUGGGCUUAACCCGGAAACUGCCGUUGAUACUAUCUGUCUUGAAUAUAGUGGAGGUGAGCGGAAUAUGUCAUGUAGCGGUGAAAUGCUUAGAUAUGACAUAGAACAUCGAUUGCGAAGGCAGCUCGCUACACUAUGAUUGACACUGAGGCACGAAAGCGUGGGGAGCAAACAGG